AGUGAACGCUGGCGGUAGGCCUAACACAUGCAAGUCGAACGGCAGCACAGUAAGAGCUUGCUCUUACGGGUGGCGAGUGGCGGACGGGUGAGGAAUACAUCGGAAUCUACUUUUUCGUGGGGGAUAACGUGGGGAAACUUACGCUAAUACCGCAUACGACCUACGGGUGAAAGCAGGGGAUCUUCGGACCUUGCGCGAUUGAAUGAGCCGAUGUCGGAUUAGCUAGUUGGCGGGGUAAAGGCCCACCAAGGCGACGAUCCGUAGCUGGUCUGAGAGGAUGAUCAGCCACACUGGAACUGAGACACGGUCCAGACUCCUACGGGAGGCAGCAGUGGGGAAUAUUGGACAAUGGGCGCAAGCCUGAUCCAGCCACACCGCGUGGGUGAAGAAGGCCUUCGGGUUGUAAAGCCCUUUUGUUGGGAAAGAAAAGCAGCAGGUUAAUACCCCGCCGUUCUGACGGUACCCAAAGAAUAAGCACCGGCUAACUUCGUG
Molecule: ribosomal RNA, 492 nt
Filed under: uncultured bacterium
Lineage: Bacteria
Description: partial 16S ribosomal RNA
Rfam family: Bacterial small subunit ribosomal RNA
Source: RNAcentral